Molecule: ribosomal RNA, 465 nt
Filed under: uncultured bacterium
Lineage: Bacteria
Description: bacterial SSU rRNA
Rfam family: Bacterial small subunit ribosomal RNA
Source: RNAcentral
CAUGCCUUACACAUGCAAGUCGAACGGCAGCACGGGAGCAAUCCUGGUGGCGAGUGGCGAACGGGUGAGUAAUAUAUCGGAACGUGCCCAGUCGUGGGGGAUAACGUAGCGAAAGCUACGCUAAUACCGCAUACGAUCUACGGAUGAAAGCGGGGAUCGCAAGACCUCGCGCGAUUGGAGCGGCCGAUAUCAGAUUAGGUAGUUGGUGAGGUAAAGGCUCACCAAGCCGACGAUCUGUAGCUGGUCUGAGAGGACGACCAGCCACACUGGGACUGAGACACGGCCCAGACUCCUACGGGAGGCAGCAGUGGGAAUUUUGGACAAUGGGCGCAAGCCUGAUCCAGCAAUGCCGCGUGCAGGAUGAAGGCCUCGGGUUGUAAACUGCUUUGUACGGAACGAAACGGUGAGCUCUAAUACAGUUUGCUAAUGACGGUACCGUAAGAAUAAGCACCGGCUAACUACGUG